Molecule: ribosomal RNA, 506 nt
Filed under: uncultured Actinomycetes bacterium
Lineage: Bacteria; Bacillati; Actinomycetota; Actinomycetes
Also listed under: 1 other name
Description: bacterial SSU rRNA
Rfam family: Bacterial small subunit ribosomal RNA
Source: RNAcentral
GAGUUUGAUCUUGGCUCAGGACGAACGCUGGCGGCGUGCCUAACACAUGCAAGUCGAACGGAGCCGUCCCUGGUGGCAACACCUUGGGCGGUUCAGUGGCGAACGGGUGAGUAACACGUGAGGAACCUGCCCCGAAGACCGGGAUAACAGAAGGAAACUCCUGCUAAUACCGGAUACCCCCACCGGACCGCAUGAUCUGGUGAGGAAAUGGAUUCCGCUUCGGGAGGGCCUCGCGGCCUAUCAGCUAGUUGGUGGGGUAACGGCCUACCAAGGCAUCGACGGGUAGCUGGUCUGAGAGGACGAUCAGCCACACUGGGACUGAGACACGGCCCAGACUCCUACGGGAGGCAGCAGUGGGGAAUCUUGCGCAAUGGGCGAAAGCCUGACGCAGCAACGCCGCGUGCGGGAUGAAGGCCCUCGGGUUGUAAACCGCUUUCAGCAGGGACGAAGCUGACGGUACCUGCAGAAGAAGCCCCCGGCCAACUACGUGCCAGCCGCCGCGGUAA